Molecule: long non-coding RNA, 2447 nt
Filed under: Homo sapiens (human)
Lineage: Eukaryota; Metazoa; Chordata; Mammalia; Primates; Hominidae
Description: HSALNT0181054
Source: RNAcentral
CUGGUAUUUCCUAUAAGAGUCAUGGUUCCAGCUUCAGAAAAUCCUGGACAAUCAGCAUCUUUCUACAGAAAAGGAUCUAAAUUGUUCCUGUCCUGGCAGUUCUUCAGAUAUGUAGAUUGGAAGUGCCUUGCUGGUAACUGCCUUAAACACUGAUGACAGUCUAUUGCUAAACAAUUCUGAGAGGAGAAACUGCUCAUCGAUACUGGAGGGUUAGAAAAAGGUUUAUACUUGACUAGUAGGUUGUUGGGGGGUUUAAUAAAACCAGAAACUACUCACAUAUGGUACUCUCCACACAUUUCACUUGAUCCUCAAAGCAACUCGAUGAAAUAGACGAGAAUUUAAUCCCAUUUUAUGGAUGGGUAAACGAACUCAGGUUGUGGUGCAAGUGCCGUGUGCCAGGAACUCAGCCAGGUGCCUUACAGGCAUGGUCUCAUUUACGACUCACAACACUAUGGGGUACUUUUGUUAUCUUUGUUUUAGAAAUUAGGAAAUUGAAGCCCAGAGAGGCUAAGUAACUUCCCCAAGAUCACAGAGUUAGCAAGAGUUAAAACUCGAGCCCAGGUGUGUUUGACACCAAAAACUCAUAACCAUGAGUCUAUGCAGCUGCCACUCACAGCUGAGUCAAAGGAUAGAUCUCAGAUUGUCUGAUUCCAAACUACCUGAAGUUUUUUCAUGCCAACCUACUGUCUCUUAAGAGAAUGAACAAGAGAGUUACUUCAAAUCAACAGGCAAGAGAGGCGAUUUGAAAACUUGAUUACAAUAAAGGCAUGGAAGAUGAAGAAAGCCUUGAGAGCCCUCUAAGGCAGUGAUUCUCAAACUGUGAUCCUUAGACCUCCUGAACCAACCACUUGGGGAACCUGGGAAAAAUGGAAGCACAUAGACCCCACAGAUCCAGGAAUUUGGGGAUGGGUCUCGAGAACAGAAUCACCCCCUUGUGAUUCUUAUUACACAAAAGUUUGAAAACCACUGCUUAAGGAAACAGUGAUUGGAGGAUAUUGACAAAAGAGAUACACAAGUAACUCUGAAUUUCUAAGUUUGUUUUCUGUAAGAUGGAGGCAGUAGGAAAACUUGGGAGACAGUGGAGCAAAUGACUUAUUCAGAGAGUUGAACUCAAACAAUUUUUCCCCGGUCAUCUGAAUCUUCCCUUCAGCAAAUUUCCAUUAGGGCCAGAGAGUAUUGUUUUAGACCAUGUGCCAUAAACCCUGAGAAAGAAACGGGCGGUGGGAAUGUUCCCAGGGGCGGACAUCUCUGUGUUUGGGUGUUUUCUCCUCUCACAGUGCUGAAAACACACUGUUCAUUGGGAGAGAAUGUUUGGCCUCUGUGGGAAGCUUUGUUCUGCUGCUGAUCCGCUGCCUGGCCCACAUCACUGCUGGGGAACCCCACCAGGACUCCAGCCCUGCCUUUCUGGGGUCAUUUUACAAGGGCCUGGAGGCCUAUUUCAGGGAAGCAUUCCCUAUCACACUGAGAAUGGCAGCAGUUUCCAGGGACAGUAAACUUGACCAAAGCAUAAGUGCUAUCCUGCUGGAAGAGCAGCCCAUCUCUGACAGAGAAAGGGAUCUUCUGUCUAAACUCAUUGAAAUGAAGCAUGUAUCUCCCUUGGAGCCAGAAUCACUAGAAGAGUAUAUUCAUAAAAACAAAGAUCUUCUGCUCUUCACCAGUAUGGAACAUUUCCUAAAAAGCAUCCUCGCUGCAGAACAACAAAUCCUAAGAAAACCAAGAAAUCAAUUUGGGAGUGAAGAUAAGAUCUAGAAAGAAAAUGGUAAUCUCAUUUCAGUCUGCAUUAUUAAAAGGUCUUAAAUACAUCACUACAACAUCUGAUGAAGCUGAUAAGAAUUAUUGGAAAAUCUAUAAUAUUCAUGGUAAAACACAUAAAUGUGUAUCAUAGUUUUAAGUGUAUAUAUAAUAGGGGCUAAUAUUUGCCACAGAGGUUGAGGACCCCUGCUCACUGUGACUAAAAUUUUCAGUGUGACUAAAAGAUCAUUAGAUCACGUAUCUUAUUAAAAUAUGUAUUAAAGAUAUUGACUAAAACUUUCUGGGAAUGUAAAACUUGUAUAUGUCAUUAUUCAAUCAGGCUAAGGUUGUCUAUUACUGAAUCACAAAGUAGAUGGAUAUAUAUAUAUAAUAUUUGGUGAUCUAGAAUGUGUACUUAAAAUAUAGGCCAUGUCACACAAAAUUCACUUUGGAGGCCCUGGUUGAAACACCACAAAGAGAUAAGCAGUCAUCUGAAAGUGAAGUUUUGGAGUGCUGAUCAGGAGAUACAACACCAUCACAUGAAUUUAGGUUAAAAAAAAUCCAGAUACAAACUUCAACUCAAAAGCUGCUCAGAUUACAAAGCCAAUGCUUGAAAUUCAAACUGCUUCUCACAUGGAUAAUUCUGUAUCAUGCCCUGUAUUUAUCUGUUCUCAUGCUGCUAAUAAAGACAUGCUUCAGACUGGGUAAUUUAUAAA